AAACCAUGCAUCGGGUAUUUUCUAAUUAGUUCUUUGAAAUGCUCCCAUGCUUCAUAUAAUGUUUCAUCUUCUGAUUGCCUAAACAAUGUAAUGUCAUUCCUAAGCUU
Non-coding RNA from Gossypium hirsutum (cotton), 107 nucleotides. The record is from Rfam. Lineage: Eukaryota; Viridiplantae; Streptophyta; Magnoliopsida; Malvales; Malvaceae.